RNAcentral lists this small RNA (402 nucleotides) under Histoplasma capsulatum var. duboisii H88. RNAcentral's name for it is "Histoplasma capsulatum H88 hypothetical RNA". Lineage: Eukaryota; Fungi; Ascomycota; Eurotiomycetes; Onygenales; Ajellomycetaceae. The record is from RNAcentral.
AGACCUCUCUGGUUGGUUCAUUGUCUGCUUAAAUAGUUGUGGUGAUUAGUGUUGUUUUUUUCGCGGGUCGGGUUGAAAAAGUGGUGGGAGUUCCCCGAGUUACUGGGUUCACUUAAUUAAACCCGCGAACCCGACCCGGGUUUUUAGGGGCGCCUAGGAGCGCCUAUAGCGGGUGACAUGCCUCAAUUACUUAACUAGGUUUAGUUAAGUCUCUAUAAGCCUGCGCAUGGGCAUUCUUUCGCGGGUCGGCUCGACAGUAAUGACGGGGUUCACAACCCUAGUGGUGAUGUGGCAUCAGCAAGCAUUAGAGAUGGUAACAAUAAUGAACUAAAAUUCAUUCUUAAUAAGAGCCUUGAUCAUUAUUUGUGUUGAAUGUACUGUAUAUAUAAAAAAUUAGUUGGG